This 2476-nucleotide ribosomal RNA is filed under the name Microconidiobolus nodosus. RNAcentral's name for it is "Conidiobolus nodosus large subunit ribosomal RNA". It matches the Rfam family "Bacterial large subunit ribosomal RNA". Lineage: Eukaryota; Fungi; Entomophthoromycota; Entomophthoromycetes; Entomophthorales; Conidiobolaceae. The record is from RNAcentral.
AAGAAGGAAGAAAAAGAGAAUGAAAUAAGAAAAAAAUUACCAAAAAGAAGAAAAGGACUAAUUUAGGAAGAUAAGCCAAAGUAAAGAGAAAGGAUAGAAGGAAAAAAUACAAGGGGAAAAGAUAAUGAACCAGUAGAAUCCAAUGAGGGAAACCAAGAAAAAACAACCCUAAGAACAGAAACAUCUAAAGUAUUAGGAGGAAAAGAAAUCAACCGAGAGAUUGGGAGUAGUGGUGAGCGAAACCAAUAAAAAAACUAAUGAAAGAAAUCUAAAGGAAAAUAGAUAACCAAAGAGGGUGAGAGUCCCGUAUGGAAUUAGAAAAAAAGAAGUAAAAUGAGAGAAAACUUGUUUGAAGAAAGGGGAACCAUCCUCUAAAAGUAAAUAUGUUACUUUGAGCGAUAGAGAAAAAAGUACCGUGAGGGAAAAUUGAAAAGAAAGUAGUUAACUGGUGAAAAGAACUGGAAUAAGUUAGUUUAUAAGCAGUUGUAAGUAUGUACUGACAACGUACCUUUGGCAUAAUGGGUCAGCAAGUUGAUAAUUGAAGCAAGCGGGAAGGAACUAGAUGAGAAUAUGAAAAGUUUCAGUGAUCAGACCCGAAACCAAGUGAUCUUACCAUGAACAAGUUAAAGGACUGCACGGUAGUCUGUAGCAAUAGGCACCGAAGAUUUGUGGUAGGGAGUGAAAAGCUAAUCGAACUUGGAGAUAGCUGGUAUUCUGCGAAAACUAUUUAAGUAGAACCUUAUUCAAAAGGUUGAUUAAGUAUAGCACUGGAUACAAAACAAAAAGUUUAAUUGGGGGGAAAACAAAUCUCUAUCAAUUGUAUCUAAUCAUCUAAAGAAUCAAUAAAAAGAAGAGUAGGAGUCAGACAGUGGGGGAUAAGCUCCUCUGUCAAAAGGGUAACAGCCCACCGGUCGAAUUAAGGUCCCGAAAAACUGACUAAGUGAAAUAAAUAAAGUUAAUAAGAAAACAACCCUAAAGUGGGCUUGGAAGCAGCCAUCUAAUAUAGAAAGCGUAAUAGCUCAAGGGUCUAUUUGAUAAAAGAUAGAAAAUAUAACGGGUCUAAGUCAGUAACCGAGAUAGACCAACCAUGAAGAACAUGAAGUGGUAGCAGAACAAUCAGUAAAAUCUGAAGAGACAAUGCUGACAUGAGUAACAAAAAAGAAUAUAAGAAUAAUUCUCGCCGCAAGGAUAAGGGUUGAGUAGCAAUAAAGAAUAGCUAUUCGUAAAGUAACGGCAUCUAAGAUAAAAAGAUUGAUGAAAAAAACUUAUUAAUUAAACAGUGCUUUGCACUCAGGAAAAAUAAUUAAUAUAACUAAAUUAACCGUACCCUAAACCGACACAGGUAUCCUAAAAAGGCGUUUGAGACAAUCAUCUUGAAGGAACUCGGCAAAUUACCUCUGUAACUUAGGGAGAAAGAGGAUGAUGCUAGCAUCAUGACACAAACCAAUAGGGAACGACUGUUUACUUAAAACACAAGACCUUGCAAAGACCUCUCAGAAUUGAAGUAUAAGGUCUGACACCUGCCCGGUGCUAGUAAGAGUGAAGAAAUUCUACUCUCUGGUAAACGGCAGCCGUAACUAUGACGGUUCUAAGGUAGCGUAAUACCUUGACUACUAAUUAUAGUCUUGCAUGAGUGGUGUAACGACUUCCCUAACUGUCUCCAAGAUGAACUCAGUGAAAUUGCAAUGGAGGUGAAAAUGCCUUCUACCCUUAGCUAGACGGGAAGACCCUUUGAAGCUUGACUGUAAAUGAACAAAGUGGGCUAGCGAAAAAGAUCGGGAGGUAACUAACCAAACCGAGAUUAAUCAAAAGUACCACAAAAAAAUGUUUAUUGGGCAGUUUAACUGGGGUGGUAGCCUCCCAAAAGGUAACGGAGGCGUUCGAAGGUAGAGUAUAAAUUGAAGAGAAAUCAAUUUAAUAGUAUAAUGGCCUAACUCUGCUUAACAGUGAGUCAAACAAGACAAGCUGAGAGGUAACUCGGACAUAGUGAUCCGGUGAUAACAGAAUGGAAUGGUCAUCGCUCAACGAAUAAAAGCUACUCAAGGGAUAACAGAUUAAUCAGUCCUAAUAGUUCGAAUAGAGGGACUGGAUUGAUACCUCGAUGUCGACUCAUCACAUCCUGGGUGUGCAGAAGCACCCAAGGGUUCGGCUGUUCGCCGAAUAAAGUGGUACGUGAGUUGGGUUAAAUACGGCGUGAGCCAGUAUGGACCCUAUCUACUAAGGGGAAAGGAAUUAAGUUUUAAUUAUAACCUAGUACGAGAGGAGCGGGAAUAGUGAACCAAUAGUGUACCUGACGGAUAACAGGGAAGCCACGUUCAUAAAGGAUAACUACUGAAAGCAUCUAAAGUAGGAAACCAAUAAAACAAAAUACCUAAAAGAGUCGGACAAGAAAAGUCCGUAAAAAAGGCCAAAGAUAUAAAUAAUGUAAAUUAAUAAGUCAAUUGGCACUAAAAAACUCAAGAAAUUUGGUAAUUAA